RNAcentral lists this ribosomal RNA (301 nucleotides) under uncultured bacterium. RNAcentral's name for it is "partial 16S ribosomal RNA". It matches the Rfam family "Bacterial small subunit ribosomal RNA", at positions 509 to 807 of the family's 1533-position model. The record is from RNAcentral.
CAGUCGCCGCGGUAAUACGAGGGGGGCAAGCGUUGUUCGGAAUUAUUGGGUGUAAAGGGUGCGUAGGCGGCUUGGCAAGUCCUGUGUGAAAUCUAUGGGCUCAACCCAUAGUCUGCACGGGAAACUGUCGGGCUUGAGAAUGGGAGAGGUGAGUGGAAUUUCCGGUGUAGCGGUGAAAUGCGUAGAUAUCGGAAGGAACACCUGUGGCGAAAGCGGCUCACUGGACCAUUUCUGACGCUGAUGCACGAAAGCUAGGGGAGCAAACAGGAUUAGAUACCCGUGUAGUCCCUGUCUCUUAUAC